UUAGUGAGAGCUGACAAAAACUAGGGCAACAUAGCUUUAAAAUGCAAACAACAAACACAUGGAUCACGAGAGCACAAACCGAAGGCCACCUGGCUAUGAGGGCUAGCAGAAGGAAGACAAGCUCAUCACAAGCUAGCUAGAAAAGGGUCCAAGCUCUAGCAACCAUGUUGUUCCCAGAUCAUGGGCAUGGAGAGCACCAGGAAGGGACAGCCCUCCUCUUGCUACCUAUUCACUGUGACAAUGCGCAACACUCUCAUUCGUCAGCUGCCGUAGUGUCGAUGCACAGUAUACAGAUGAAGAGAGCAACACAACACAAGAUUGUAACAAUAAUGGGAAAAAUAAGUUACAUCCUAAAUGUUUGCUGAAAUUCUAUGAAUGCCAUUCAGUAUGUGUUGCCUCCGAUCUAAACAUUAUUCUAUGAUAAUUUCUAGGGAUCCUAUAGAGUAGUAUCGGGAAGAAUUUGUAUGAGGUUUUGAAUUCAAUAUUGAUAUUUGAUCUUGUACAAAUUUUAGGUAUUCAAGGGAUAGGUAUGUGCCUUAGAUUUUAAUUUUUGAGAGGGAGUUUGAAGUGUGAAUAUAUUUAAAAUAUUAUGACAGAGGGAAAUAUUGAAGAGAUAUUUGAAUU
This 624-nucleotide long non-coding RNA is filed under the name Oryza brachyantha (malo sina). RNAcentral's name for it is "long non-coding RNA (OBRA_LNC000522)". The record is from RNAcentral. Lineage: Eukaryota; Viridiplantae; Streptophyta; Magnoliopsida; Poales; Poaceae.